RNAcentral lists this ribosomal RNA (708 nucleotides) under Nocardiopsis lambiniae. RNAcentral describes it as "bacterial SSU rRNA". It matches the Rfam family "Bacterial small subunit ribosomal RNA", at positions 1 to 712 of the family's 1533-position model. The record is from RNAcentral. Lineage: Bacteria; Bacillati; Actinomycetota; Actinomycetes; Streptosporangiales; Nocardiopsidaceae.
UUUAUGGAGAGUUUGAUCCUGGCUCAGGACGAACGCUGGCGGCGUGCUUAACACAUGCAAGUCGAGCGGUAAGGCCCUUCGGGGUACACGAGCGGCGAACGGGUGAGUAACACGUGAGCAACCUGCCCCUGACUCCGGGAUAAGCGGUGGAAACGCCGUCUAAUACCGGAUACGACCCUCCUCCGCAUGGUGGGGGGUGGAAAGUUUUUUCGGUCGGGGAUGGGCUCGCGGCCUAUCAGCUUGUUGGUGGGGUAAAGGCCUACCAAGGCGAUUACGGGUAGCCGGCCUGAGAGGGCGACCGGCCACACUGGGACUGAGACACGGCCCAGACUCCUGCGGGAGGCAGCAGUGGGGAAUAUUGCGCAAUGGGCGAAAGCCUGACGCAGCGACGCCGCGUGGGGGAUGACGGCCUUCGGGUUGUAAACCUCUUUUACCACCAACGCAGGCUCCGCGUUCUCGUGGGGUUGACGGUAGGUGGGGAAUAAGGACCGGCUAACUACGUGCCAGCAGCCGCGGUAAUACGUAGGGUCCGAGCGUUGUCCGGAAUUAUUGGGCGUAAAGAGCUCGUAGGCGGCGUGUCGCGUCCGCUGUGAAAGACCGGGGCUCAACUCCGGUUCUGCAGUGGAUACGGGCAUGCUAGAGGUAGGUAGGGGAGACUGGAAUUCCUGGUGUAGCGGUGAAAUGCGCAGAUAUCAGGAGGAACACCGG